Molecule: ribosomal RNA, 253 nt
Filed under: uncultured bacterium
Lineage: Bacteria
Description: partial 16S ribosomal RNA
Rfam family: Bacterial small subunit ribosomal RNA
Source: RNAcentral
GACAGAGGGUGCAAACGUUGUUCGGAAUUACUGGGCGUAAAGCGCGUGUAGGCGGUUAUGCAAGUCGGGUGUGAAAGCCCCGGGCUCAACCCGGGAAGUGCAUUCGAUACUGCGUAGCUAGAGUACUGGAGAGGAUGGUGGAACUCUCGGUGUAGAGGUGAAAUUCGUAGAUAUCGAGAAGAACACCGGUGGCGAAGGCGGUUCUCUGGGCAUUACCUGACGCUGAGGAGCGAAAGUGUGGGGAGCGAACAGG